AAGGCUCCAUUAAAAAAAAAAAGCAGAGAAGAGAGGAUUCCGAUCACAAAAGCCUCUCCCCACGACACAAAACCCUAAAUUUUCAACUUUUCUUAGAAAUCAUGAAGCUCUCCUUCUCCGUCCCCUCCGCGAAAAACCAAUCGAAGCCCAAAGCCGUCAACACCUUCGACGACUCUUCCGCCGCCCAAAACGACAACGGCGGAACCAAACACCUCAUCACCGAAUUCGACCCUUCGAAACCCGCCCCUGCUACCGCCCCCAAAACCCUAAUCCCCCCAAUCCAAAACGAAUGGAGGCCCCACAAAAAGAUGAAGAAUCUCCACCUCCCCACCACCGACCCUGACUCGGAAUCCCUCCAAUUCGUGUCCCACACCGCUCAGGAUGAAUCCGGAUCCGACAUGUCCUACGGCCUCAACCUCCGCGCCGACAAAAAGCCCCAACAGAACAACCAAGACGCCGCCGCUCCCCUCCGCCGAGUUCCGCCGGAGGUCUCCAUGCUGCAGAAGUUCAAGGACGACAUGCAGAGGCUGCCAGAUGACCCGGGAUUAGACGAGUUCAAGGAUGUCGCCGUCGAGGGUUUCGGCGCCUCGCUGCUCGCCGGCUACGGCUGGAAGGAGGGGAUGGGAAUUGGGAGGAACGCGAAGGAGGAUGUUAAGGCGGUGCAGAUCAAGCGCAGAACCGCUAAGGAAGGUUUAGGGUUUGUUGGUGAUGCUCCUGCUGCGCUUGUUCGGAGCAACAUUGACAAGGACAGCAAGAACAGGGAAAACAAGAACAAGGAAAAGAAUGAGGACAAAGAAAAGAGUGAAAAGGAGAAGGUUGUUAGGAUUGUUGGGGGAAGAGAUGCCGGGUUGAAGGGUAGUGUUGUUUCUAGCAUUGGGGAUGGUUAUCUUGUUUUGAGGCUUUCCGGGAGUGGACAGAAGGUGAAGGUGAAGGUGGGUGAUGUUGCUGAAUUGGGUUCUAGGGAGGAAGAGAGGUGCUUGAGGAAAUUGAAGGACUCUAAGAUUCGGCGCGAGGAGAAGAGACAGGAUGUUGGUAGGAGAGAGGAGAGGAGAGUGGUGGAUCAUAGGAAGGUUUCUUGGCUUACUAGUCACAUUCGGGUUAGGGUGAUUAGUCGUGAUUUGAAAGGGGGGCGGUUGUAUUUGAAGAAGGGGGAGGUUCUUGAUGUUGUUGGGCCUACGACUUGUGAUAUAUCUAUGGAUGAGAGCAGGGAGAUAGUUCAAGGGGUGUCCCAAGAUGUUCUUGAGACGGCAAUUCCGAGAUGUGGGGGGCCGGUGCUUGUGUUGGCUGGUAAAUACAAGGGUGUGUAUGGGAGUUUGGUGGAGAGGGAUUUGGACAGGGAAAGUGCUGUUGUUAGGGAUGCUGAUACCCAUGAGAUGUUCAAUGUGAAACUUGAACAGAUUGCAGAGUAUAUAGGGGACCCGAGUUUAUUGGGACAUUGAUUUGGUUGCAUCGACUGGACUUCCAUUUGGGGCGACAGAUUUGCAAGUAUGCAUAUUGGGAAUGAUCCUGGGGGGAAAACAACUGCAAUAGCAAUACUUAUGAAGGAUGAAGGAGGGAUCAUUGCAACAGAUAGAUCUUAUAAUAAGGUGCUGGAUGUUCAGAAAUUGGCAGCUGAAAUGGGCUUGAGUUGUAUAAAGACAUUUAAAUUAGAUGCUCUUAAAUCUGUUUGUCGAAGAGAUGAUUUUGAUACUUUUACUGAUCCAUGCUCUAGUAAUGCCAAAAAUGAUGUGACAAAUCAAGUGUUUGAUUCAUCAAAUUUGCAAGUAGAAAGAGAGUCACCCCUUGUUACAGAAGG
Non-coding RNA from Cajanus cajan (pigeon pea), 1795 nucleotides. Lineage: Eukaryota; Viridiplantae; Streptophyta; Magnoliopsida; Fabales; Fabaceae. The record is from RefSeq and is a predicted model, not a curated record.